CCUGUAAUCCCUGCUACUGGGAAGGCUAAGGGGUGUUAGACCUCUUGAGUCCAGGAGUUCUGAGUGACAGUGGGAUAAGCCAAUGAGGGGUCCUCACUAAGUCUGCCAUCAAUAUGGUGAGCUUCUGGGAGCAGAGGGCUGCCAGGCUACCCAAUGAAGGGGGAAAACUGCCCCAGGUCUGAAAUGGGGCAGAUCAAAGCUCUGGAGCUAAUCAGUAAUGGGAUCCAGCUAUGAAUAAUCCCUGCAUUUCCAGCCUGUCAAGAUAGGGAAACCCAAUUU
Molecule: signal recognition particle RNA, 279 nt
Filed under: Vombatus ursinus (common wombat)
Lineage: Eukaryota; Metazoa; Chordata; Mammalia; Diprotodontia; Vombatidae
Description: Metazoan signal recognition particle RNA (ENSVURG00010018596.1)
Rfam family: Metazoan signal recognition particle RNA
About the family: The signal recognition particle (SRP) is a universally conserved ribonucleoprotein. It is involved in the co-translational targeting of proteins to membranes.
Source: RNAcentral